GACAGAGGGUGCAAACGUUGCUCGGAAUCACUGGGCGUAAAGGGCGUGUAGGCGGGAAGGCAAGUCAGAUGUGAAAUCCCCAGGCUCAACCUGGGAACUGCAUUUGAAACUCCCUUUCUUGAGUACCGGAGAGGAAAGUGGAAUUCCUGGUGUAGAGGUGAAAUUCGUAGAUAUCAGGAGGAACACCAGUGGCGAAGGCGGCUUUCUGGACGGUGACUGACGCUGAGACGCGAAAGCGUGGGGAGCAAACAGG
Molecule: ribosomal RNA, 253 nt
Filed under: uncultured bacterium
Lineage: Bacteria
Description: partial 16S ribosomal RNA
Rfam family: Bacterial small subunit ribosomal RNA
Source: RNAcentral